Molecule: ribosomal RNA, 1283 nt
Filed under: Acinetobacter schindleri
Lineage: Bacteria; Pseudomonadati; Pseudomonadota; Gammaproteobacteria; Moraxellales; Moraxellaceae
Description: bacterial SSU rRNA
Rfam family: Bacterial small subunit ribosomal RNA
Source: RNAcentral
GAAUGCUAAUACCGCAUACGUCCUACGGGGGAAAGCAGGGGAUCUUCGGACCUUGCGCUAAUAGAUGAGCCUAAGUCGGAUUAGCUAGUUGGUGGGGUAAAGGCCUACCAAGGCGACGAUCUGUAGCGGGUCUGAGAGGAUGAUCCGCCACACUGGGACUGAGACACGGCCCAGACUCCUACGGGAGGCAGCAGUGGGGAAUAUUGGACAAUGGGCGCAAGCCUGAUCCAGCCAUGCCGCGUGUGUGAAGAAGGCCUUUUGGUUGUAAAGCACUUUAAGCGAGGAGGAGGCUCCUUUAGUUAAUACCUAAAGAGAGUGGACGUUACUCGCAGAAUAAGCACCGGCUAACUCUGUGCCAGCAGCCGCGGUAAUACAGAGGGUGCGAGCGUUAAUCGGAUUUACUGGGCGUAAAGCGUGCGUAGGCGGCUUUUUAAGUCGGAUGUGAAAUCCCUGAGCUUAACUUAGGAAUUGCAUUCGAUACUGGAAAGCUAGAGUAUGGGAGAGGAUGGUAGAAUUCCAGGUGUAGCGGUGAAAUGCGUAGAGAUCUGGAGGAAUACCGAUGGCGAAGGCAGCCAUCUGGCCUAAUACUGACGCUGAGGUACGAAAGCAUGGGGAGCAAACAGGAUUAGAUACCCUGGUAGUCCAUGCCGUAAACGAUGUCUACUAGCCGUUGGGGCCUUUGAGGCUUUAGUGGCGCAGCUAACGCGAUAAGUAGACCGCCUGGGGAGUACGGUCGCAAGACUAAAACUCAAAUGAAUUGACGGGGGCCCGCACAAGCGGUGGAGCAUGUGGUUUAAUUCGAUGCAACGCGAAGAACCUUACCUGGCCUUGACAUACUAAGAACUUUCCAGAGAUGGAUUGGUGCCUUCGGGAACUUAGAUACAGGUGCUGCAUGGCUGUCGUCAGCUCGUGUCGUGAGAUGUUGGGGUUAAGUCCCGCAACGAGCGCAACCCUUUUCCUUAUUUGCCAGCGGGUUAUGCCGGGAACUUUAAGGAUACUGGCCAGUGACAAACUGGAGGAAGGCGGGGACGACGUCAAGUCAUCAUGGCCCUUACGGCCAGGGCUACACACGUGCUACAAUGGUCGGUACAAAGGGUUGCUACCUCGCGAGAGGAUGCUAAUCUCAAAAAGCCGAUCGUAGUCCGGAUCGCAGUCUGCAACUCGACUGCGUGAAGUCGGAAUCGCUAGUAAUCGCGGAUCAGAAUGCCGCGGUGAAUACGUUCCCGGGCCUUGUACACACCGCCCGUCACACCAUGGGAGUUUGUUGCACCAGAAGUAGGUAG